UCUAGAAAAUCAAGAGAAAGUAUAUAGGAGUUGUAGAAAUUAAUUAAGGUGCCAUCGUUGUGAUAGUGUUAGCCGAGGUAAGCUUGGUGCUACCUCUUUUCUUUUGUUUGUUAUUUUCUUUGAAUAAGAGGAUUGAGAGUUUUUGAAUAUUGUGAAGUGAAUUAUGGAAUGGAAAUGUGAUUGGUAUUAUUUGAGAAGUAGAAAGAUUGAAUGCUGAAAGCUGAUUGUAGUUCAACAGAGAGAAUGAGUCUGUAUUUGUGUGAAACAUCAUAAUGUGAAUGGCAGUUCUCUGUGAAGAAUUCUAGUGAUUGGAACGAGGAUAAUUAUGUGCUGAAAGCUGUGAAGGCGUAGUAUUACAGUUGGAGAUUAUGAGGGUGAAUAUAUUGGUGGAAAUAGCAGUUAUUGAUAUGAUUGAAUUGUUGUAA
This 425-nucleotide long non-coding RNA is filed under the name Physcomitrium patens. RNAcentral describes it as "long non-coding RNA (PPAT_LNC011492)". The record is from RNAcentral. Lineage: Eukaryota; Viridiplantae; Streptophyta; Bryopsida; Funariales; Funariaceae.